GCAAUCAGCGAGACUCCGUGGGCGUAGGACCCUCCGAGCCAGGUGCGGGAUAUAAUCUCGUGAUGCACCGUUUUUUAAGCCCGUCAGAAAAGCGCAGUAUUCGGGUGGGAGUGACCCGAUUUUCCAGGGAGAUGAACCCGGUACCUCAGAUGGAAAUACAGAAAUCACCCGUCUUCUGCGUCGCUCACGCUGGGAGCUGUAGACCGGAGCUGUUCCUAUUCGGCCAUCUUGGCUCCUCCCCUCCGAAAAAUAACUUUCUAAAGCAGGCAGAGAGCAAGAGCAAGAGAGAAAGAAAACCUACAGGCAAGAAGAAGAAGAAGGAGGAGGAGGAGGAAGAGGGGAGGAGGAGGAGGAGGAGGAACCAGUGGUGGCUGUCUUUUUCCCUCAUAUGAGAGAAGGGAUGAGGAAGUUCUCUAGGACCUCCUUUAUAAAGGUGCGAGGAAUUUUGUCCAAAUUAGAGAGGCUUUGUUACCCAGAACUUGGAAUUCUCACACAGAUUUGACCAAGUCAGGUAAAAUUGGUCAAAUCUGAUGGGUGAAAAUCCAGAACAAACAACAACAAUAAAAACCCCACAAUAUGAUCACUGGGUGCUCUAAUGGUAAGUAGAAAUUAAGACCAGCUGGUUAUUAAACUUUAGCCAAGACAAAACCCCAAUUCAGGUACUUACCUAGGGAUGGGUCUCAGGCUGAAGACUGCUUUCUACCAUUCUAGAAGCAGGGAAAAAAAAAAAGAGAGAUCUCAAACUCAUCUUCCCUGCUGAAAGGGAGCUCAAACUCCAUAAAGAAGUUACCUGCCUUUCAUUGUGAUGGAUACAGGAAGUCUCUCCUUCCUUGUUGGGAGCAAGUAAAACUCCAAAAAAGAAGGGAGGUGUACAGCAAAAUAAACUUUAGAUCUUGACCAAAUUUUUGGAGAUCAGAGAUUCUCUGGAGGGGAUGCUCACAGACCUCUGCAAAUUCUCCCACUGGUUUGAGCCAUACCAGUGAGAGGAGGUACCAGCUGGGCUUCCUGGGUCGAGUAGGGGCUCAGAAAGCUGUGAAACUUACUCAUUUCCUGCAUCAGGACUUACUUCAGUCCUGGAUGAAUAAUAUUGAAGAUAUAUGCUUAAAAUAUUCCUAACACCAGGACUUGUGCAUGUGUUUUCUUCC
Molecule: long non-coding RNA, 1145 nt
Filed under: Homo sapiens (human)
Lineage: Eukaryota; Metazoa; Chordata; Mammalia; Primates; Hominidae
Description: long non-coding RNA NONHSAT202369.1
Source: RNAcentral